UAUACGACCGUACCGCAAACCGACACUGGUGCGCGAGAUGAGUAUUCUAAGGCGCUUGAGAGAACUCAGGAGAAGGAACUCGGCAAAUUGACACCGUAACUUCGGAAGAAGGUGUGCCCUAUUAGUGUGUAGUGAACAACGAAGCAUGAAUGGGUUGCAAAAAAUCGGUGGCUGCGACUGUCUAUUAAAAACACAGCACUCUGCAAACACGAAAGUGGACGUAUAGGGUGUGACGCCUGCCCGGUGCUGGAAGAUUAAAUGAUGGGGUGCAAGCUCUUGAUUGAAGUCCCAGUAAACGGCGGCCGUAACAAUAACGGUCCUAAGGUAGCGAAAUUCCUUGUCGGGUAAGUUCCGACCUGCACGAAUGGCGUAACGAUGGCCACACUGUCUCCUCCUGAGACUCAGCGAAGUUGAAAUGUUUGUGAUGAUGCAAUCUCCCCGCGGAAAGACGGAAAGACCCCAUGAACCUUUACUGUAGCUUUGUAUUGGACUUUGAACAGAUCUGUGUAGGAUAGGUGGGAGGCUUUGAAGCAGGGUCGCUAGAUCUUGUGGAGCCAACGUUGAAAUACCACCCUGGUGUGUUUGAGGUUCUAACCUAGGUCCAUUAUCUGGAUCGGGGACAGUGCAUGGUAGGCAGUUUGACUGGGGCGGUCUCCUCCCAAAGCGUAACGGAGGAGUUCGAAGGUACGCUAGUUACGGUCGGACAUCGUGACGAUAGUGCAAUGGCAUAAGCGUGCUUAACUGCGAGACUGACAAGUCGAGCAGAUGCGAAAGCAGGACAUAGUGAUCCGGUGGUUCUGUAUGGAAGGGCCAUCGCUCAACGGAUAAAAGGUACUCUGGGGAUAACAGGCUGAUACCGCCCAAGAGUUCAUAUCGACGGCGGUGUUUGGCACCUCGAUGUCGGCUCAUCUCAUCCUGGGGCUGUAGCCGGUCCCAAGGGUAUGGCUGUUCGCCAUUUAAAGAGGUACGUGAGCUGGGUUUAAAACGUCGUGAGACAGUUUGGUCCCUAUCUUCCGUGGGCGCUGCAGAUUUGAGGAAGCCUGCUCCUAGUACGAGAGGACCGGAGUGGACACACCUCUGGUGUAUCGGUUGUCACGCCAGUGGCAUUGCCGAGUAGCUAAGUGUGGAAGAGAUAACCGCUGAAAGCAUCUAAGCGGGAAACUCGUUUCAAGAUGAGAUCUGCCGGGGCCUUGAGCCCCCUAAAGAGUCGUUCAAGACCAGGACGUUGAUAGGUCAGGUGUGGAAGC
Molecule: ribosomal RNA, 1247 nt
Filed under: metagenome
Description: bacterial LSU rRNA
Rfam family: Bacterial large subunit ribosomal RNA
Source: RNAcentral